Molecule: unclassified non-coding RNA, 451 nt
Filed under: Hevea brasiliensis (rubber tree)
Lineage: Eukaryota; Viridiplantae; Streptophyta; Magnoliopsida; Malpighiales; Euphorbiaceae
Source: RNAcentral
GUGAGAGGAGUGUUUUGGUACGGUUUAAAGCUGGUAAAAGAAGAAGGCCAAAAGCAUAUUGGUAGAGGCUAUGAAAAACAAAUUCUUGGCUUACAUCAUAAAUAAAGGAAGUGGUCCUAGAGAAUGCAGAAUGAUGAUAAAGUGUUCUUUGAAUCAAGUACCUUAAGGCUCUGAUGAGACAGCAAAUAUUUCUGUUGUUGUUGAUUUAUGGUCAAUUUAAGCAGGGUAAACAUUUGAUUUAAGGUCAACCCUUUUGAAUAUUUAGUUUCUUGAAAUUGAAACCCAAAUAAAGAAUGAAUGCAGAGGUAAAAUGAUUAUGUAAUUUUUAUCCUUUUCUUUUAAUUUUGUUCAGGUGGGGAAGAUGUUGGUGCUUGAAAUUUUAGAUUAUUUUCCCUCAGAAUUUUAAAUUUGUGCAUGUUGACUGUCUAAUGAUAAAACUUUGUGCAGAUUU